UGUUGCUGCUAGACUUCUCCUGGACGGAGCUCAUGAUCCUUUCAGAUGUUACACUUGACUCCUCUGUUCUUUAGAAACCUGUUCACUCUCUUCCACAACAUUAACGAAGACCACCCCCCCUUUUCUCUACUGUGAACCCAGUGCUGUGCUGAUCUCCAUGCAACAUUACCUCCUAUCUUAAGGAGCACCUGUUGUUCCUACUUAUAGAUGAAACUCUUGAGGGUCAGAGGUUAAGUAAUUGGCUUCAUGGCACCUAGUAAGUAUAGGAUUGGGAUUUAAAUUCAGAUUCCUAUCAUGCUCUUUCCCCCACACCAGCAUAUUUACCCCUCUUCCAGUGUCCCUGUUGCUUGAGAACUUCUCAGCUUCUCUGCCCAUUGUGGUAGCCAGCUCUGGUGGCUUGUACUUUUUAGACUGUUCUUUUCUGACUAUUCUCCUGGGCUCUGAUAAUUUUGUUCUUCAGUUCUUUGAUUUUCUUCCAACUUUACCUAUUGCUUGUGCAGAGAUUCAAGGAGUUGGGAAAUUAUUUCACCUGAUGAAUCCAGGCUGGCUCACAAUAGGACUGCCAUCCUGCUUUCUGAUCCCCAAUCACUGGACUGGGUCUGAUGGAUGGGCGUAUGCUUUAGGGGAAAGAAAGACAAGUUUGAAAUUAGGACUAUUUGAAAACAUACACUUCUUCUUGAAAAGGAAAAACUGGUCUCUUGAAACCUUGGCUUGUUGCCUCUUAGAGACUCCCUGGUGGUUGCUUUUUUAUCUGUCCACAUGUGCAAGACUUAGUGUGAGUCGAGAGCCCACAGAAGCUCCAUAUUUCCAUCUGCUGGUCUUGCUAGCCAGGAAGUCCCUUAAGAUAUAUAAAAUAUCCUAAUAGAAUGUCUUUAUGUAGAUCUAUAGUCUUAUUUGGGUUGAUAAGAGGCUUUCAAUGUAGAGGUGAGAGGGGUUGGGUUUUGGAUGAAUUGUUGUUUUUUGUAAUAAUGGUUUGUUUGUUUCUCUUAUCCUCUCCAGAAAUUGAUAAUUAUCAUUGUGGUAGUAGUGGUGUUGCUGGGCAUUUUAGCAUUGAUUAUUGGACUUUCCGUUGGGCUGAAGUAAUGGCGGCCCGAGUGGUUGCUGCACUGAAAUAACCUGAUUUCACUCCAGCCUGGUGUGGCCACCCUUGUCUUCAGAUGGGAGCAGAGUUUGAAUGGACUUCCUGAGAGAGAGUGCGACCUGUUCCUUUGUUUCCUUGUAACCGUCCUUGGACCUCACCCAGCAAACAAUUUAGCCCCAGAGGAAGCUAAUCUACCUGAUGCAACCCUGAGUUCUCCUCAAAACCUUCUCCUGCCCCACCAACUCUGAAGUGCCUUCUCUCCCAGACAGUAAGAACCAACCCAGCUUCUCUUUAUUCCCUCUGAAUGUGUCAAAUUAUGCCUUGCACCUUGGAAAGCCCAUUCCAAACCUUCCCAAGGUGCUGUAUUUUCUACCUCAUGGAGUGUUCUCCUCCCAGAAAUUGCAGUGUAUUUUGUAGGGGGUUAUCGUUAACCACACAAAGGGAUUCUUCUAAGUGUGGCAACAAUAAGGCUUGGCUUGAGCCUUCUACUUGGCAGGGUCUUGGUCCUCACAGUUUAUUGUCCCUAUGUCUUGAAAGUAUGUGGAACUGGCAGAUGUCAUUUUGGUCUUAGAAGCUGACUUGUUUGAAGUUCAAUUUUAAAUUAAGCUCUUAGUUUGUUCAGCUUGGGGGCCAACUUCAAUCUUUAUGUUGUAUUCUCUCAUGUUUACUCAAGGAGGCACCAGCAUGAUAUGGUUGUCCUAGGUUACCAUUUGUAAAGGCUGAGGGUAUGAGAUAUUGGUUUCCCUCUCUGACUCUUGGAAACUGGCUGUUCUCCAUUGGAAUGAUGCUUUGUGGAGCCAUUGCCUUGAGGUGAUAAAUAACCAGGCACUUAAAAUUGGGCCAGGGACAAGGUGCUUGAGUCUCAGGCUCUGGAAAUGCUCAGAUUGGUGCGAGUAUUCAGUCACUCAUUUCAUAUAUUCCAGAUGUAUUUUUAUAAUCGUGUGUGAGACAAAUAUAUGUAUAUAUUUGCCCAUGUCUCUCAGGAAGUAGGAAACUAGAAAUGGAGAAUAUUAUAACCUCAAAACAAACAAACAAACCCCUUGACCUGGGCGGAAAAUUAGGUAAGAGACGUUUGCUUAUCCGCAAAUGAAUCAUAGUAGAAAUAUGAUCAGGUGUCAUUGAGAAACCUUGUUUUCUGGUGAGUACUGGGACAAUCAUAGAUCUUUGCGGUGAGGACUAAGUUGACCCCCUUAAGUUUUUCUGCUUAGCAGACAGGUGUGACAAGUUUUGGCAUCUCUCCCCACUGCUGCAUAGGUGAGGCUUGUCCUGAGAACAUCCCACAGCAAUUUGAGAUCAUUCCUGAGGCCUUUAGGAUGAUCCUGUCUCCAGGGCUGAGUCAGCUGGGGGAGACCGGGGACUACUGAGUAGCCGGUAUUGCUACCAGGUUAAUGAGCUUGACAGGUUCUUUGUCUCCCCCAAUUCUUGUCAUGGAGGAAGCAACAGCCAGGAAAUAAUUUCAAGUGUAGUGACUAUGCUGACCCAGUGGUGAGCCCCUUAGAUUCUCCGCCAGUCUCCCUGAUGUAUAGUUUAGCUUUAACUUUCAAGGAUAGGGUGAGCACCUAGUCCAGGGACUACCCCUUGGCUUCCUUUGCAAAGGCUAUGUACUCCAUCACUGCUCAGCACUCAGACAGAGCCUCUUACCCAUGGCUAUGAAGUCGGGACAGUGGACAGGCUCCAGCAACAAGGGAAGACAAGCUCUAAUCACAGGGCUUUGUUGAGCCCUGGGGCUUAGUUUGGAAUACAAAUGAAGGUUUUUUUUUUUUUUUUUCAUUUGUAUUUUUUAAAUGUAAACUUGAUUAUUUUUUUGAAAUUUAAAAAUAAAUUACUUUAUAUUGAUUGUGAAACAGUUCUGGCUCUAUUUCCCUGCAAAAUAGUGGUUGGGUGCCACCAUGUGGUGGUUUUUGUUUAGGUUUUGGAAAAAGGGUUAAAAUCCUUUUUAACCAUGUGCCAGACCAGAUGGAGCAAAAGUUCUAAUUUUUGAAAAUGGUUUAACUCUCAAAGAAUACAUUGAACUACAUUUGACUUUCAGGUUUAAGGUACUCCCACCAGGAAUUUGGUUCACUCGUCGUGGGUAUCUGGCUCUAGGAGAGAAAGGGGAUAACUCUCAUGUGAUGGGAUCCAGAAGGCAGAACAACAUACUAAACACCCUUAGAGAUUGCUGUUGAUCUAAUUUUGAAUCUCUCGCCUGAAAGCAAUGCUUCUAUUCACAUCCUGGGUUCUAGAAGCCAGAUCCAUCUCCCUUUCCCUUCACAUCUUCCUCCAUGUCUGGAUCCACUUUUGUCUUCCUUCCCUUGCAACUCUGCACAGUGACGCUGCUUCUCACAUGCUUUUUCUUUCCUUGUCUGGUUGAGCAGAAGAAGAUCAUGAUCAUGAUCUGCUGUAUUAUCCUUGCGAUCAUCUUAGCUUCUACCAUUGGGGGCAUAUUUGCCUGAAAAAGGUGAGCCAGCUGUGGGGAGGGUGGGAGGUACUUUCACUUACGUUUAUGUCCAGAGGGCAUUUGUUGUUUGUAGCUGGGUUCCCCAGAUUUGGGUGGGAUUAGGUGGUAGAAUAGAUAAAGGCUGGAGAGAACUAAGGAAAAGUUUUCAUAGAGAGAAAAAUGUGUUAAUAAUGAGUUGGCAGUAGAUGGGGAGGCAGGUGGCAGUCUGUUCCAUAACCAGGGCUGGUAGCAGAAUGCUCUGUUUAGAAUGCUUUGUAGAAGGAUGUUGAUUUCCUGCAGCAAAAUCUGGGCAGUGGUGUCUGCGAAUGGCUAAAGGAGAAAGAAUUAGUUCUUGCAUUGGAAGCACCCCAAACUCCUUAGAAGGAGAGAGCCAGCCAGUAAAUCCAGAGUAAAUUAAUUUCCUCUCUUUGAGGGUUCAGACUAGUUAGUGCAGACUCGCUGAGUAGACUCUUUGCCACUGCAGGGGAAGGACUUGGUGAUCUUGGCUUCGGACAUCCUGUUGUAUAACCUGUGAUUUUCUUCCCCCUCCGUUCUCUCCUGCAGUCCUCCCUGACGGAGCCUCGGUCGGCAUUUUUCAUCCUUCUUUCACUUCUGUGGUGCCAUCACUUCUCCACUGCAGAUUCCUCAACAGCUACUCCUCUUUCCAUUAUGAAACCUAUGACACAGGGUGUCCAACAACCACCUGUUGAAAGUUAUGCAAAGGUAGACUUAGGACAGUGCAGAACUGGGUCGGGGCAGGGCUGAAGGAACAGUUUGCACAGCAACAUGAGACUGGUUAGGAAGAUGGGUGUCCAGGAGGGCUGUGGGCUGGAGAAUACGUGCCUGUCCAGGAAAUAAAACAGAGCCAGGCAGGUAUUGGAGCACACCCAGCUCAUCAGCACUUCAUUUUCUCUUUGAUCAACACCAGGCCCUUGUUACGUCUGCUCUUCAGGUUCUUCUAGGUCUCACCUUUGACCAGCCCUCCAUCUACUUCCUUCUUCAGGGUCUGAUAGUCUGAAGUGAAGAUGAUCUAACCAUAGGCGCCAUGCAGGUCUUGCUCACAGCAGCAUCCCCAAUGCUUAGCACAGUGCCUGCCACUUACAGAUGUUCAAGUAUCAGUUGACUUAAUUACCUGUAAUUAAGCUCUGAUUUCUGCUAACGGUUGAGUCCCUGGGUUUUACUCCGAAACCUUUUAAGGCAUCAGUGGUAAAUGGGUUUGUUAGUAUCAGAGGCUGUGUGCAAAUACCUGGGAAGGGGCCGAUUCACUUAUGCAAAAAUAGGACAGGCCUCCCUUUACUGUGACAUAUAAGGUCCUUUUUUAUGGGUGGUGUUGGAGUUGAGUCUCUCACUCUGCAAAGAUUGGAUGGCCCCAGGAUUGGGGUUCAGUAACUCAGUGUGGAUCCCAAACAAAAGAAACAGGUUUAUACCACAAAUGAACUCCCAACAGUCAUCAGCACCAUACUCGUGACCCGUAACAGAGAUGAGAGGUCAAGUCAGAGAGGUGACAGGUGGCUACCACUCCCAUCGUUUCUUAAGAUGGUUCGUGGUGCUGAAACUGAUUUUGUUGGCCAGCAAUGUGUGUAUAAAACUGUCCCAAACAAUGGCCCCAAUUCAAGGUUCAGAUGUGUUCUAAUGCAAUCUAGUAAUUAUAUUACAAGAGCUUCACUAAAAAUACAUUAAGAACCACCAUGGACAACUCUUGAGGACCAUGUAACUGUUUAGAUAUAUUUGUACUUUUGAAAGUAGAUUACUUUGUGGGACUUUUUAAGAAAGUGGGAUUAAACUGGUAAGAACAGGUAACUAUAUUUGACCUUAGCCAAAAGUGGGAUUAAAAAAAAAAAAGCUGGUAUUUCAAGUCAGUGUGCUGUUUUCUACCCACUUUCAAAAGCAAAUGGUUUACUAUUUUUAUCCAUUUGUAUUUCUUUCAGUUUUAUAGGGGAUAGAAAACUGCUGGCUAGCUCUGGAAGAGAUGAAUCUUGUUAAAGACAGACAGGAAGGUGGAACCAUGGGGAUCUGAAACACAUGGGGCCUUUAUUCAUCCAACAGUACCUAGUUGAGUGCUGUGUGGCACACUGCACCGUCCUAGAACCUGCAGGGAAGCAAAGGUAGAGCCAAACACUCACCCUCCUCAGAGAAUUUCAGACCUAGGAAAGGCCAGACAACAACCUUUAUCAAAGUUCCUUGUGUUAAAAGGCAACGGUAUGUUCCUUACCGUAUUGUCCAACAUCCCCCUUUGACUUCCAAGAUUGAGAGAUGGGUAGCUGGACAUAAAUAAAUAUCUGUUCAGUCAAUUAA
Callorhinus ursinus (northern fur seal) is the source of this 5792-nucleotide long non-coding RNA. RefSeq lists it as uncharacterized. Lineage: Eukaryota; Metazoa; Chordata; Mammalia; Carnivora; Otariidae. The record is from RefSeq and is a predicted model, not a curated record.